GUUAUCAGAGCUGUAAAAAUGAAAACAAUGAUUUUGCAUGGUAUUAUUGUUUAUUUUCAAAUUGGUCACUGAAGUUAUUUCAUGGGAAAACUGAGGUGAGGGCGAGUAGGUCCCUGAGGAGAACCACUGCAAAGGCGGUCAAGGAGAUUCUGGGAGCAUCCUGCGAGCAACCUCUAGACCAGCCAGCAGGCACCUCUGACAAUGCCGCUGCCGGUGUCGACGCUGGCAGCCAUGGCCGGCGCCGAGCUGACGAGUUCCAACCUGGAAGAUCAGCGCGAGGGCCGGCAUUUGUUGCCGGCUUCGUGGCAUACAAGUGUCACCACAACGACGCCA
Molecule: long non-coding RNA, 333 nt
Organism: Amphibalanus amphitrite
Lineage: Eukaryota; Metazoa; Arthropoda; Thecostraca; Balanomorpha; Balanidae
Exons: 3
Source: RefSeq, a predicted model, not a curated record